Molecule: long non-coding RNA, 1654 nt
Organism: Vicia villosa (hairy vetch)
Lineage: Eukaryota; Viridiplantae; Streptophyta; Magnoliopsida; Fabales; Fabaceae
Exons: 4
Source: RefSeq, a predicted model, not a curated record
UAACUUAUGUUUUUUCUUGAAGAAAAUGCCUCUGUUUACUUAUAUCUUCUUUUUGUUUAAAUAUCCAUAACUUUUUCCUCAUUUCAUUGUUAAGGAGUUACAACUAUCACUCUGCAAUUUUUCAUAGCUUUAGUGUUUCUCAGUCUGAUAACCUUCUCAUCCCUAAUUUUCAGCCUUUGAUUCAACCGCGGAUUCAUUUUCUUCCAACAAACCGUCAAAUCCUGCUGCACUAAUCAAGCAAAAGUUUUCCAAUUUCAGUCUUGCAACCAUUGCAGCCAAUAAUGGCUCACGGUCGUAUCCCUCUCCAGACCAAAACAAAUCGCCAGCAACUCCAUUUGACAUGGGAAGCGGUUUUGUAAACGCUACUGCAUCAUGAAACUUGGGAUUGCUUUUUGAUUCAAAUAAGCCACUUAAUGAACUUCUAAAUCUUUUUAUUAUAUUUAUAAUGUCUAUAAGCUUAUUUGAACUGUGUAUAUGGCAUGUAUUUCUUUGUAGGUUAUGAUGAUUACAUGUCUUUUUUAUGCAGGAAUGGUCUUUUGUCUAUCUAUUAGAACAAAUAAUAUUUUAUUGUUUUAACUUUCAACAGUACAAUAUAUGAAUAUGAAGAUUUUCUUUUGUCCUUCAUUCAAAUAACUUGAUAUUUAUGGAAGAUCAUGCAACAGUCAAGCUAGCAGAUUUUGGUUUAGCGAGAGAAGAGUCUUUAACUGAGAUGAUGACAGCUGAAACGGAAACAUACCGUUGGAUGGCUCUAGAGGGUGAGAGCUGAAGUCUAAAAAGAAUUUCAGAGUUUGGUUAUUUAAGAGGGAAAUGAUUGAAUGUUAUAGAAAAGAAAAAGAAGCCAGAAGUGCAUCUGAGCAGAAGGCCAUUGCAACUGAGGACCUGUACAAGCGAUCACAAGAGUGUAAUAUCAGUUUGCUAUAGUAUAAUAGUCAGCUUCAGUAAAAUCUAAAAGUAGUUAACGAGGAAAAUAAACGACUGGAAAUAGAGAAAUCAAGUAUUGUUGAGAACCUUAGCAGUGUAAGAGGCCACAAUAAGGUAUUGCACGAGCAACUAGCAUCUCUACAAAUAAGUUAUUUAUUGUUGAUUAAUAUCAUCAGGCCUAUCAUUUAUGAUGUCUAUUGUCUGUCGAUAACCCGAAGUGUUAUAAAUUACGUGAUGUGAAGUUCCUGUUGUGAACAAAUAGAUAUGUUGCAGCAACUGAAAAAGACAAGUUGAAGGUACAAAGUUAUAUUUAAGUUUGCAUGUGUGUGCUUCGGUUUUCCCUUUAUUAAUUUAAUUCGGAAAUUUACUUCACAUUAUUGAAAUUAGGGUGGAGUUUGAUCUGUGUCUGUAGCUAAUUGCAGGCCAUAACAAAAUGAAUGUAAAUAGGCUGCACGAGCUACACUAAGCAAUAAAAUCUGGACGUACACACACUGUUUGGAGUCUCUCAAGCAUCAAUGAAGAACUAAUGAGUUUGCAUUUGGUGCAGAACCUCAUUUUGAGAAUAAUGAGUUUAAAAGAUGAUUCAAAUCAAUGUUAAUUGGAAAUGGAGACAAUUUUUCUUAUGUAUUCCGAGCAAAACAUGCGGAUCAUACCUCAUAAACAUGUAUGAAUUUGUUUUAAGAGCUGUGGCCAUACAGAACUAAGAAGAAUCUAAGAACAUACCUCAUAAACA